CUUCAUAUUGCAAAGAGAAAGCUAGCCAUCAAUAUAAGUUUCCUUUAUGCUGUAAAAUUGGUAUAGUCAGAGCAUGCACACAGCCCACCUCUGUUCAUGUAUAUGUAUAGUGCCUAUGACAACAGAUCUCUUAAGGGAUGGAAAGGGAAGGGUAAAAGAACCAAAAAAGAGAAGAAAAUAACACCAGCUGCACAACUAUAUUUAUAUGGACAAGAAUCCCACCAAUCUUUCAUCACAAUGCUAAGAAUCCAUCAUUACUUCUUCUCAAGUUGGAGCAUGGAGAUUUGUAAUGCCCAACUUGCCUAGGAGAAAGGUAAACUGAUCCCAACCAAGGGCCUUGGUGAAAGUGUCAGCGAGCUGAUAUAUGGUGUGAGCAAAAUGAGUGCUAAUCUCCUUGGAUUGAAGACACUGUUGUACAAGAAAAGCAGCCAAUCUCUAUGUGCUUUCUGUCCGUUAAAAAAGGUAUUGGCUGCAUUGUGUAACACAACCUGAUUAAAAACAAAAGAGUUGCACUUGUUGAGGAUUAGAAACUCUGAGAUCAUGAAGAGCCUUCACAACCAUAACAACUCACAAAUAGCAGCCGCCAUUGAUCUAUAUUCAGCCUUGACAGAUGAGCUUGAUACCAUGGUCUGUUUUUAGUUUUCCAAGAAAUGGGGGAUGGACCAAGCAAGGUAAAAUAACCAGUAGUUGAGCAGCGAAGUCAUGAGACAAGUAGUGCCAUCAGAGUCACAGUAUGCGAGAAGCAGAGGAAUACAAGAAGGGUAAUUUCUGGUUAUGAUCACAUCAUCAAGAUAGAGCAACAGAGAAGUAAACGGUAAAUAAUGAAUAAUUAGCAGCAAAUUGUUGAAACCCAAUCUGCUUAAGAGUAGUAAACUUAUUGAACCAGUUGCAAGAUGCCUAUUUUAGACAGUACAAAAUUUGUGGUUCUGACCAAUGUCUCCCCUUUCAUAAAAUAUCAAAUGGCA
Molecule: long non-coding RNA, 965 nt
Filed under: Elaeis guineensis (African oil palm)
Lineage: Eukaryota; Viridiplantae; Streptophyta; Magnoliopsida; Arecales; Arecaceae
Description: long non-coding RNA (EGUI_LNC009907)
Source: RNAcentral